UACCGAGAGCAAUUAAAAAAAGCUUUCGAUGGAGAAAUGUCACAAGACGAUAUAGAAAAGCUUCCAGAAGAAGCUUUAUAUGCCGCAAAAUGUGAAAAGGAAGGAAGAAAGAAAACUGGAGGAGGAAGCUGCGAAAGCACCACCAACGACUCAAUGAGUCUGGUGCUAUCGAUAAUGGGUGAUACGGUAAAGCCUUUACCAAAUCCAUUUGAUAGUGCCAGCUCUUAUCACGGUACAAAUCAAAGUUUGCAUUUACUUAAUAAAAACAUUGUUUUAAAGAUGA
Molecule: long non-coding RNA, 283 nt
Organism: Photinus pyralis (common eastern firefly)
Lineage: Eukaryota; Metazoa; Arthropoda; Insecta; Coleoptera; Lampyridae
Exons: 2
Source: RefSeq, a predicted model, not a curated record